GAAUAUUGGUCAAUGGAGGCAACUCUGAACCAGCCAUGCCGCGUGCAGGAAGACGGCCCUAUGGGUUGUAAACUGCUUUUAUUCGGGAAUAAACCCUUUUACGUGUAAGAGGUUGAAUGUACCGAAAGAAUAAGGAUCGGCUAACUCCGUGCCAGCAGCCGCGGUAAUACGGAGGAUCCAAGCGUUAUCCGGAUUUAUUGGGUUUAAAGGGUGCGUAGGCGGCUUAUUAAGUCAGGGGUGAAAGACGGUGGCUCAACCAUCGCAGUGCCUUUGAUACUGAUGAGCUUGAAUACACUUGAGGUAGGCGGAAUGUGACAAGUAGCGGUGAAAUGCAUAGAUAUGUCACAGAACACCAAUUGCGAAGGCAGCUUACUAAGGUGCAAUUGACGCUGAGGCACGAAAGCGUGGGGAUCAAACAGG
This 420-nucleotide ribosomal RNA is filed under the name uncultured bacterium. RNAcentral's name for it is "bacterial SSU rRNA". It matches the Rfam family "Bacterial small subunit ribosomal RNA", at positions 359 to 776 of the family's 1533-position model. The record is from RNAcentral.